Long non-coding RNA from Wyeomyia smithii (pitcher-plant mosquito), 749 nucleotides. RefSeq lists it as uncharacterized. The record is from RefSeq and is a predicted model, not a curated record. The transcript has 3 exons. Lineage: Eukaryota; Metazoa; Arthropoda; Insecta; Diptera; Culicidae.
GCCGAUCAUUAGCUCAGUAUAGAGGAUCAAAAGUGGUCGUGCAGUUGAGCGAUCCUAAGUGAGUUGAAAAAGCCCACUAAAACCACUGGCAUCUCACUGGAAGCUUGAGCUCGCCCCAGCAAGAAUCGCCGUAAAUAUAAAGGAAACCAACCGCGCACAGCAAAAGAUCACACCGCGACACGUCAACCACGUGCUCAACUCAAGCGAUCCCCAUGACUACGGUCCAGGUAUAGCAUCAUCCAAAGCGAUUUGGUCGGCUAGUCAGGAUUCGCAGGCACAUUGAAAAUCAUCAGCGCAGGCAAAUCGAUCGAGGACCAUUAGGCGAGCACAGAAGGCCUUCAACAGAGGGCCUUUUAUUUGCAGGCCAAAACGUGAUCAAGAAUAGACUAGCGAUUCCAGGGGGAUUCUGGGCCACCAGAUCGAGCUCGAGGGACAUUCCGAGCGGGUCGGUUGACCGGUGAACGGGCGCGAGGCUUCGCGCUUAGAACGACUGGCAGGCGGCACUCUAGGGUAGUAGGGUGCAGGCAGCUGAUGCAGUAGUGAAGCGGUGCGAGACGGUGGUGCCUUCAGCGCCAGAGUAACCGGCACGGGCGUGCAUGGCGCGACAAUAGAUCGACAGCGGCGGUCGGAGUGCGGUAAACGUCGUGUCACGGGGCCCCCAUCGAUACUAUUAUUUAAGACCACUGUAGAUGUGAGAAUGGAGAGAUAAACUGUAUGUAUAGCUAACAAUAGAUAUAAGUCCACAAUGA